GCCUGUUUUAUCAAAAACAUCGCCUCUUGAACCCCUCUAAGAGGUCAAGCCUGCCCAGUGAUUUUAUUCAACGGCCGCGGUAUUCUAACCGUGCGAAGGUAGCGUAAUCACUUGUUUUCUAAAUAAAGACCAGUAUGAAAGGCAUCACGAGGAUUAAACUGUCUCCUUUUCCUAAUCAGUGAACCUAAUCUCCCCGUGAAGAAGCGGGGAUUAACGUAUAAGACGAGAAGACCCUGUGGAGCUUAAAACAUUAAACACGUGCCCCCCCUCUCACUACCCAGGUAUCUCACCCGUCGCACUCUGAUUGUAUGUUUUCGGUUGGGGUGACCGCGGAGAAAACUCAACCUCCGCAAUGAAAGAGGCCUCCUCUAAGCAGUAAGUUACAACUUUAAGCAUCAAAAAUUGACAUAAUUGACCCAUAAUUUGAUCAAUGAGCCAAGUUACCCCAGGGAUAACAGCACAAUCCACUUCGAGAGCCCCUAUCGACAAGUGGGCUUAUGACCUCGAUGUUGGAUCGGGGUCUCCUAGUGGUGCAGCCGCUACUAAAGGUUCGUUUGUUCAACGAUUAAAACCCCACGUGAUCUGA
This 586-nucleotide ribosomal RNA is filed under the name Pristimantis sp. INPA H 44429. RNAcentral describes it as "partial large subunit ribosomal RNA". It matches the Rfam family "Bacterial large subunit ribosomal RNA", at positions 1798 to 2608 of the family's 2925-position model. Lineage: Eukaryota; Metazoa; Chordata; Amphibia; Anura; Strabomantidae. The record is from RNAcentral.